GAUGAACGCUGGCGGCGUGCCUAAUACAUGCAAGUCGAACGCACAGCGAAAGGUGCUUGCACCUUUCAAGUGAGUGGCGAACGGUUGAGUAACACGUGGACAACCUGCCUCAAGGCUGGGGAUAACAUUUGGAAACAGAUGCUAAUACCGAAUAAAACUUAGUGUCGCAUGACACAAAGUUAAAAGGCGCUUCGGCGUCACCUAGAGAUGGAUCCGCGGUGCAUUAGUUAGUUGGUGGGGUAAAGGCCUACCAAGACAAUGAUGCAUAGCCGAGUUGAGAGACUGAUCGGCCACAUUGGGACUGAGACACGGCCCAAACUCCUACGGGAGGCUGCAGUAGGGAAUCUUCCACAAUGGGCGAAAGCCUGAUGGAGCAACGCCGCGUGUGUGAUGAAGGCUUUCGGGUCGUAAAGCACUGUUGUAUGGGAAGAACAGCUAGAAUAGGAAAUGAUUUUAGUUUGACGGUACCAUACCAGAAAGGGACGGCUAAAUACGUG
Molecule: ribosomal RNA, 497 nt
Filed under: uncultured bacterium
Lineage: Bacteria
Description: partial 16S ribosomal RNA
Rfam family: Bacterial small subunit ribosomal RNA
Source: RNAcentral